RNAcentral lists this ribosomal RNA (492 nucleotides) under uncultured bacterium. Its description in RNAcentral is "partial 16S ribosomal RNA". It matches the Rfam family "Bacterial small subunit ribosomal RNA", at positions 30 to 507 of the family's 1533-position model. The record is from RNAcentral.
AUUGAACGCUGGCGGCAUGCUUUACACAUGCAAGUCGAACGGUAACAGGCCUUCGGGUGCUGACGAGUGGCGAACGGGUGAGUAAUGCAUCGGAACGUGCCCAGAGGUGGGGGAUAACGCAGCGAAAGCUGUGCUAAUACCGCAUGUGAUCUGAGGAUGAAAGCGGGGGACCAGGCAGCAAUGUUUGGCCUCGCGCCUUUGGAGCGGCCGAUGUCAGAUUAGGUAGUUGGUGGGGUAAAGGCCUACCAAGCCGACGACCUGUAGCUGGUCUGAGAGGACGACCAGCCACACUGGGACUGAGACACGGCCCAGACUCCUACGGGAGGCAGCAGUGGGGAAUUUUGGACAAUGGGCGCAAGCCUGAUCCAGCAAUGCCGCGUGCGGGAAGAAGGCCUUCGGGUUGUAAACCGCUUUUGUACGGAACGAAAAGGCUCUGGCUAAUACCUGGGGCUGAUGACGGUACCGUAAGAAUAAGCACCGGCUAACUACGUG